This 390-nucleotide ribosomal RNA is filed under the name Phyllogryllus sp. n. GDE. RNAcentral's name for it is "partial 12S ribosomal RNA". Lineage: Eukaryota; Metazoa; Arthropoda; Insecta; Orthoptera; Gryllidae. The record is from RNAcentral.
UAUUAUUGUAUGUAAUACAUGUAUAUCAGAGUAGUAAAGUUUGACUGUAAACUUAGAGAAUUUGGCGGUGUUUUAGUCUUUUCAGAGGAAUCUGUUCUGUAAUUGAUAAUACACGAUUAGUUAUACUUAAUUUAUUAGUUUAUAUACCGCCGUCGUAAGAAUAUCUUGUAGAGGGAAAUAAAUUUCUUAAUUUAAGAGAUUAAAAAUUUAAGUCAGGUCAAGGUGUAAUUUAUAAUUAAGGGGAAAUGGAUUACAAUAGAGAUAUUUAUAUGGAUUAUUAAUUUAAAGUUGAUAUAAAGGUGGAUUUGAUUGUAAAAUAAUUUUAAUUGUUUUUUUGAUUUAAGCUCUAAAAUGUGUACAUAUCGCCCGUCGCUCUCGNNGUCUAAUGAG